This 112-nucleotide non-coding RNA is filed under the name uncultured Gemmiger sp. RNAcentral's name for it is "FMN riboswitch (RFN element)". It matches the Rfam family "FMN riboswitch aptamer (RFN element)". From Rfam's summary of the family: The RFN element is a highly conserved domain that is found frequently in the 5'-untranslated regions of prokaryotic mRNAs that encode for flavin mononucleotide (FMN) biosynthesis and transport proteins. This element is a metabolite-dependent riboswitch that directly binds FMN in the absence of proteins. Lineage: Bacteria; Bacillati; Bacillota; Clostridia; Eubacteriales; Oscillospiraceae. The record is from RNAcentral.
GUUUCAGGGCGGGGUGAAAUUCCCCACCGGCGGUACAGCCCGCGACCGGCCGCUCUGCGGCCGCUGAUUCGGUGAAACUCCGAAGCCGACGGUAUAGUCCGGAUGGAAGAAA